GUUUUUUCUUAUUAAUUAUUGCGCUGAAUAAAGGGUUUGGCGCAAAACCCCCGACCUGAAUCGAAGUCGAGAGGGGACCCCAUCGACUCAUUUCGCCGUGUUGAGAUGGCGCUAACCGAGCUCGACGACGGCACUGUGCGGAGCAUGGCAAUCGGAGCUGUUUUCUCUGACUUCGUUGGGAAGAUAAAUUCUCUUGAUUUUCAUCGCAAGGAUGAUUUGCUGGUGACGGCGAGUGAGGAUGAUUCCGUGCGGCUGUAUGAUAUUGCGAAUGCCAGGUUACUCAAAACCACAUUUCAUAAAAAGCAUGGUGCUGAUCGUAUAUGCUUUACCCAUCACCCAAGUUCCGUUAUAUGCUCUUCAAGAUACAAUUUAGAUACUACUGGAGAGUCACUGCGAUACCUAUCAAUGUAUGAUAACCGAUGUCUUCGCUACUUCAAAGGACAUAAAGAGAGGGUUGUUUCGCUCUGCAUGUCUCCAAUCAAUGACAGCUUCAUGUCAGGUUCUCUCGACCACAGUGUCAGGAUAUGGGAUCUUCGAGUAAAUGCCUGCCAGGGAAUACUUCGCUUACGUGGCAGACCUACCGUUGCGUAUGACCAGCAAGGCCUUGUGUUUGCUGUGGCAAUGGAAGGAGGUGCUAUUAAGUUGUUCGAUUCACGUUCCUACGACAAGGGACCCUUCGAUACCUUCUUGGUUGGUGGAGAUAUGGCUGAAGUCUUUGACAUCAAAUUUAGUAAUGAUGGCAAAUCUAUGCUCUUGACAACUACAAAUAACAAUAUAUAUGUUCUUGAUGCAUAUGGAGGAGAGAAGCAAUGUGGGUUCAGCUUGGAACCAUCUCCCAACACAACCAUAGAGGCUACCUUUACCCCAGAUGGGCAGUACGUUGUAUCAGGCUCAGGAGAUGGAACCUUGCAUGCCUGGAACAUUAACAAGCGUACUGAGGUUGCAAGCUGGAACAGUCACAUAGGCGUUGCCUCGUGCUUGAAAUGGGCUCCUCGCAGGGUCAUGUUCGUUGCCGCAUCCACUGUACUCACAUUCUGGAUCCCCAACACUUCGAAGUCUACAGGCGAGUCGGGUAUGGAAUUCGAAGCUCGUUCUCAAGGAGAACAUCUAUCUCAAUGAAAGCCAUAAUUACACGCAUUCUACUAUGGAUUAUCAAACCACCAAACUAACUCCUACAAAUCUUAGUUUACACAGUUUAGUGGGAGAAGCAAGGCAUUUGGAUUUGGCGGGGAGUUUUCUGCACAAUGCUCUUUCCAUAUCCUUUACCCUUUUGGCGGCAUCAUGCAAUGUAAUGAAUCAAAAACCAAUCUUAUUCAAAUCUAUUUAUUUAUGUAACGAGACGGGAUUAAUAUCUUCUUUAGAGUUGAAGAACAUCGCAUUCAUGAGCAUCGUCUUAUACGAUAAGUUCAUU
This is an RNA transcript of Cucurbita moschata (crookneck pumpkin), 1411 nucleotides long. It is a transcript of the gene named protein ANTHESIS POMOTING FACTOR 1, with no coding region annotated. The record is from RefSeq and is a predicted model, not a curated record. The transcript has 11 exons. NCBI's taxonomy places the organism in Eukaryota, Viridiplantae, Streptophyta, Magnoliopsida, Cucurbitales, Cucurbitaceae.